RNAcentral lists this ribosomal RNA (1467 nucleotides) under metagenome. RNAcentral's name for it is "bacterial SSU rRNA". It matches the Rfam family "Bacterial small subunit ribosomal RNA". The record is from RNAcentral.
UUGGGGUAACAGGAAGCAGCUUGCUGCUUCGCUGACGAGUGGCGGACGGGUGAGUAAUGUCUGGGAAGCUGCCUGAUGGAGGGGGAUAACUACUGGAAACGGUAGCUAAUACCGCAUAAUGUCGCAAGACCAAAGAGGGGGACCUUCGGGCCUCUUGCCAUCGGAUGUGCCCAGAUGGGAUUAGCUUGUUGGUGGGGUAACGGCUCACCAAGGCGACGAUCCCUAGCUGGUCUGAGAGGAUGACCAGCCACACUGGAACUGAGACACGGUCCAGACUCCUACGGGAGGCAGCAGUGGGGAAUAUUGCACAAUGGGCGCAAGCCUGAUGCAGCCAUGCCGCGUGUAUGAAGAAGGCCUUCGGGUUGUAAAGUACUUUCAGCGGGGAGGAAGGGAGUAAAGUUAAUACCUUUGCUCAUUGACGUUACCCGCAGAAGAAGCACCGGCUAACUCCGUGCCAGCAGCCGCGGUAAUACGGAGGGUGCAAGCGUUAAUCGGAAUUACUGGGCGUAAAGCGCACGCAGGCGGUUUGUUAAGUCAGAUGUGAAAUCCCCGGGCUCAACCUGGGAACUGCAUCUGAUACUGGCAAGCUUGAGUCUCGUAGAGGGGGGUAGAAUUCCAGGUGUAGCGGUGAAAUGCGUAGAGAUCUGGAGGAAUACCGGUGGCGAAGGCGGCCCCCUGGACGAAGACUGACGCUCAGGUGCGAAAGCGUGGGGAGCAAACAGGAUUAGAUACCCUGGUAGUCCACGCCGUAAACGAUGUCGACUUGGAGGUUGUGCCCUUGAGGCGUGGCUUCCGGAGCUAACGCGUUAAGUCGACCGCCUGGGGAGUACGGCCGCAAGGUUAAAACUCAAAUGAAUUGACGGGGGCCCGCACAAGCGGUGGAGCAUGUGGUUUAAUUCGAUGCAACGCGAAGAACCUUACCUGGUCUUGACAUCCACGGAAGUUUUCAGAGAUGAGAAUGUGCCUUCGGGAACCGUGAGACAGGUGCUGCAUGGCUGUCGUCAGCUCGUGUUGUGAAAUGUUGGGUUAAGUCCCGCAACGAGCGCAACCCUUAUCCUUUGUUGCCAGCGGUCCGGCCGGGAACUCAAAGGAGACUGCCAGUGAUAAACUGGAGGAAGGUGGGGAUGACGUCAAGUCAUCAUGGCCCCUUACGACCAGGGCUACACACGUGCUACAAUGGCGCAUACAAAGAGAAGCGACCUCGCGAGAGCAAGCGGACCUCAUAAAGUGCGUCGUAGUCCGGAUUGGAGUCUGCAACUCGACUCCAUGAAGUCGGAAUCGCUAGUAAUCGUGGAUCAGAAUGCCACGGUGAAUACGUUCCCGGGCCUUGUACACACCGCCCGUCACACCAUGGGAGUGGGUUGCAAAAGAAGUAGGUAGCUUAACCUUCGGGAGGGCGCUUACCACUUUGUGAUUCAUGACUGGGGUGAAGUCGUAACAAGGUAACCGUAGGGGAACCUGCGGUUG